GCUCAGUAACACGUGGAUAACCUGCCCUUGGGUCUGGGAUAACCCCGGGAAACUGGGGAUAAUACUGGAUAACGCAUAUGUGCUGGAAUGCUUUAUGCGUAAAACGGAUUCGUCCGCCCAAGGAUGGGUCUGCGGCCUAUCAGGUAGUAGUGGGUGUAAUGUACCUACUAGCCAACAACGGGUACGGGUUGUGAGAGCAAGAGCCCGGAGAUGGAUUCUGAGACAUGAAUCCAGGCCCUACGGGGCGCAGCAGGCGCGAAAACUUUACAAUGCGGGCAACCGUGAUAAGGGAACCUCGAGUGCCUGUAAAUGCAGGCUGUUCAGGUGCCUAAAACACACCUGAAGAAAGGGCCGGGCAAGACCGGUGCCAGCCGCCGCGGUAAUACCGGCGGCUCGAGUGGUGGCCGCUUUUAUUGGGCUUAAAGCGUUCGUAGCUGGGUUGUUAAGUCUCUUGGGAAAUCUGGCGGCUUAACCGUCAGGCGUCUAAGGGAUACUGGCAAUCUUGGAACCGGGAGAGGUGAGGGGUACUUCGGGGGGUAGGAGUGAAAUCCUGUAAUCCUCGAGGGACCACCUGUGGCGAAGGCGCCUCACCAGAACGGCUUCGACAGUGAGGGACGAAAGCUGGGGGAGCAAACCGGAUUAGAUACCCGGGUAGUCCCAGCCGUAAACUAUGCGCGUUAGGUGUAUCGGUGACCACGAGUUACCGAGGUGCCGAAGGGAAACCGUGAAACGUGCCGCCUGGGAAGUACGGUCGCAG
This 757-nucleotide ribosomal RNA is filed under the name uncultured methanogenic archaeon. RNAcentral's name for it is "bacterial SSU rRNA". It matches the Rfam family "Archaeal small subunit ribosomal RNA", at positions 88 to 846 of the family's 1478-position model. Lineage: Archaea; Methanobacteriati; Methanobacteriota. The record is from RNAcentral.